UCGACCAGCAGCACAAGGAAAUCAGAAGUCCAAAGAUAUUAUUGUCUAUAAUCACCAUAUCAACACGUUAUUAAACGCUAUUUUUCCUUUGAGCGAGUCCGUGAGUUUUUAAAAGUGACCACGAUGUCUCAAGUGACUCUUUUGGACGAAGUUUCUCAGUGGAACCAGGAGACCUGUCAACGAGAACUCAAAACUGUCCUGCCUAAACUAGUUGCCAUGCAUCAUGAAACUGACAGCUGGGAAGAGCAUACAAAUAUUCUGCAAAUAAUCACAAGCAGGUUUCUUCCUCAUCUCUCUUUAUCUGAUUUAGAGACUGGAUGUUUCUCCACUGCUUUACCCAAGGUUGUAAAAGUGUUCGCAAGUCUUUUGGAAGAAAUCAGCAAGCAAAUUGGAGGCCUUUCUAGUCAGAACACAGAGUUGCAUUUAUUUCUGAGAAAAAUCCUGAAGAUGAUGGUCCAGACACUGGAGUGCCUCUCUGGUUGUGUGCGUCAUGUCUGUUCCAUUGAAGAGUCUGUUUCCUUCAGCAACAUUCGUUCUUUGCCCUCUUGCAUCCUUAGAGUCCUAAAGGACACCUUUCAGCACUGCAAGGACAGUGAGGUCAUGUACAGUGGAAGACUGUCAUUGGUUGGUGAUCUCCUUCAAGGCCUGUUUAAAGAGGCCUAUUCUUUGCAGAAGAGCCUUAUGGAACUUUUGGACAAGAUUAACUUUGAAGACACUGCGUCUGAGGAGGACAUAUCAGAUAUUGUCACAGUGAUCCACAGUCUGCUGGACAUAUGCUUGAUCAUAUCCAGGCUGGACAUUGCGCUACAUGCCAACACAUGGAAAUUUAUUAUUAAACAGAGUGUGAAGUACCAGUCUCUAGUAGAGGAUCGGCUUCACCACACUGACAUUUCCUUUAUGUUAUGUGAAGACCUGUGUACGUCUGUCGAGAACUGUCUUGAGCUGGCUCAACAGAUCCAACAGGCAGGCCUACAGGUAAAGGAGACUCAUCAGUUAAAAUUAAUGGAAGCUGUGCACUCUUCAGAAUACAAGCUUUUCCAAAAAGCAACAAAGAUGUGUAGGUUUUUUGCCAACACAUUAGUCCACUACACAAAGGAAUUUAAAGUGUUUCUUUCCAAGUCGUGCAGUCGAUUUCACCAGUUGUAUCUCCAAAUCCAUAGCAAGUUUCCUCCAUCUCUCUGUGCCCCAUCUGUGCCUCCUACCCUUAUUGAGGAGCUGAGAGUGGCAGUUCUGGUUCCUGUGGAUGCCAUGCUGACACAAAUGAUGUCCUUUCAUCCCUUCGCUGAGUCUGUCCUGAACCCAGACCAUCGGAGCAGUGCCGAGCUUUUUCUACCACAGUGUCUGCUGCUGGUAAAUGUUAUGGGUAAGCUGUCAUCCCAGCCAGAAGAAGCGCUGCGGCUGUGGAGUGAUGGCAGCCAGUUUUCAGAAGAAACUCCAAGAUGGUCCGUGUUUGAGGCGGUGUUCCAGAGUUUUCGGCUGUGUGUGUUGGAGCGUUUAGUGCCAGUGUGUUUACCAGGGGUGAUGCUGCGAGGCCAGGCUCAGGGUACAGUCAGUCUGCACCAGCAUGUGUGUGUGCAUUUGUGUGCUUGUGUGGCUGUGCUGCCUGCUCAACACUUCCCUCCACUGGAGCGCUCAUUAUUAGCCGCUGUAUUGCAGACAGACACACAGACGGCUCUCUUGGCCACAGAUGUCUGGUGCUUCCUAGCUCGGUAUGGCACGGCUGAGUUGUGUUUUCAUCAUGUUGUCGUUAUUGCUCAUUUGAUAAGGUCAUGUCCUGCUGGGGGUUAUCAACUGAUUCACUUGGCCCUGGUACUCAGACGCCUACUUUUUCUGAUGACUCCAAAACACCAGGUGGAGUUUGUGGAGCGCUUUCCACUUUCUCAGGAGGAGAACCUUUGUGUGUGGCGUCACACUCUGCUUAGGUGUCUGUGCGUGGAGGCCCGUGUGCGGGUGGAGGAGCAGGUGCUCGACAGGGCUUCUGUGGUGCUGGAGGAAUGGCAGAACAGCGGCUGCAGGCUGGGAGGAAUACCGAGACUGAACCGGAUACUGGACUGUGUGCUGCUGGUUGUAGGAGGCAGUGGCACACAGACUGAAUGUGUGGAGUCCUCAGUGAAGAUCAUCUCUCAGCUGUGGAGUCACAUGAGGAGCAGCCAGGUUCAGGUACAUGUGACACUUCAGUGCACUGUGAAAUUACUCCUGUCACUAUCAGCUGUUCUGAUCAAAAGUUUAGAGCCACACGUCAUCUUUCAGGCUGUUUCCUGUUUGAGUGGCUUGAGUAUCCAUCAAUGUCCUGAUGACCUGCUUUUAGCUGCUUUGGAAUUUCUUGCUUCCUUGGGACAAAUAUUUAUUCCUCCCAAUAUUCAGGGCCAAGUUUUGCCCAGAAUCAGUUCUCUAUUUAAUGGUUUUUUGACUCAGCCAUCCUGGCUGAUACUCCAUCAUGUCCUGGAGGCAUUUGGCUGCUUUGCAGAGAUAACAAACCACGAGGAAGUGAUUUCUCAAACGCUGACAACAGAAGAGGUCAAAUCCAAAGUGUUAAAUUUCCUCAGUAAGACUGUCUCACUGCAGGAGUCUGAGGAAACAAGACUAGAACGUCUGAAAGAGUGGAGGAGUGUUAUAGAGAAACACUGUCAGCAAAUGGAGAGUGAAAAAAGCCCAUCUGCACACACACCACUUACUGAAGAGCCAUGUGCGAAGAGGCCAAGACAGGAGACCAAAGCAGAAGAGGAGUACGAGCGAUAUCUCCAGACAGCAGAAAGUGCCUUGAAAGCCCUGCAGGCAAUAGAGAGCAGGACUCGUCAUUCUGACGACAAUGACACAUUCAUUGACACAGAAAUGUAGUUUUCGCCCGCCACGCAGAUCAUCGUUUCUGGACCGCUUCCUACCUACCGCCGAGGAAAUGAAAGGUUCAGUAGACUUUUUGCUCUGAAUGAAUGGCUAUUAACAUGGUGUGAAGAACAGAAAUUGCUCUUUGCCAAUAACUGGAAUCUUUUCUGGGAGCGUCCUAGGCUUUUCCGCGCUGAUGGGCUGCACCCCAGUCGAGCUGGAGCUGAACUCCUGUCGGACAACAUCACCAGAAUACUUCGCUCUAUCUGACUAGCCCUCAGACUAUGCAGAGUCACUGAUUCGAUCCAAGACCAACGACGAGAUGAUCCCAAGGUUUCCAUAUCCUGGACCUGGCCGAAUCCUGAACAACUACUGCAAUGGUCAUGGAAGAGUGGAGAACAUGAGACUGUUUCCUAUGACGCUCCAGAGACAGACGAGUCUUCGCUGAGGCCAGCUUCCAGCCUCCGCCACUGAGACUGCAGCUCUGCACAAGACGUUUGGCCAGCGGAGAAAUUAAAAUGGUCGUGCCCAACUGAGCCUGGUUUCUCUCAAGGUUUUUUUUCUUCACUUCCGCCUUUAGUGAAGUUUUUUUUUCCCUCUCCGCUGUCGCCACUGGCUUGCAUGGUUCAGGAUCUGUAGAGCUGCGCAUCGUUGGAUUUGCUCUUCAAUAUUUCGACUCUCAGUAGGGAUUAUUAAACCACACUGAACUGAGCUAAACUGAACUGAACUUAAACACUACAAACUGAACUACACUGUUCCUAUUUACUGUGACCUUUUAUGUGAAGCUGCUUUGACACAAUCUACAUUGUAUAAGCGCUAUACAAAUAAAGGUGAAUUGAAUUGAAUUGAAUUUUGAGAAAUGAACUAAGGAUUUUGAGCAGGAGACUGGCUUUUGCAGGUAAUGCAUGGUCUUUUGUUAUUUGAGUGUGUUGUUUUGAGAAACGCACUUACUGUUCUGCAAAUUUCAAUUCUGAUUUGAGAAAUGUGCCAAAGCGACUGAGAAAAACUGCAUUCAUUCAUUGUU
RNA transcript from Danio aesculapii, 3847 nucleotides. It is a transcript of the gene named fignl1 interacting regulator of recombination and mitosis, with no coding region annotated. The transcript is spliced from 27 exons. Lineage: Eukaryota; Metazoa; Chordata; Actinopteri; Cypriniformes; Danionidae. The record is from RefSeq and is a predicted model, not a curated record.